GUCAAGUAAGAAUACCCGCUGAACUUAAGCAUAUCAAUAAGCGGAGGAAAAGAAACUAACUAGGAUUCCCUUAGUAACGGCGAGUGAACUGGGAAGAGCUCAAAUUUUAAAUCACCUUUUGGUGAAUUGUAAUUUGAAGAAAGUGUUUUGACUUUUCAGUUUAAUCUAAAUCCUUUGGGAUGAGGUAUCAUAGAGGGUGAGAAUCCCGUUCCUGAUUAGACCUCGAAUUGCAUUAAUUCACUUUCCAAGAGUCGAGUUGUUUGGGAUUGCAGCUCAAAAUGGGUGGUAAAUUUCACCUAAGGCUAAAUAUAUGCAAGAGACCGAUAGCGAACAAGUACCGUGAGGGAAGGAUGAAAAGAACUUUGAAAAGAGAGUUAAACAGUACGUGAAAUUGUUGAAAGGGAAACGAUUGAAGUCAGUCAUGCUAGUGAGAAAUCAGCAAGGUGGUUUACUUCCUUGUGUACUUUCUUUCAGCAGGUUAGCAUCAAUUUUGGUUGUCAUCAAAUAAUUGGGGGAAUGUGGCUUCUCUUCGGUAAAGUGUUUAUAGACCCUGGUAGAUGUGGCGACUGGGAUUGAGGAUUGCAGCGGAUGCCUUUGGCUAGUCACCUAUCUUCUGACUGUUACCUCGCUUUUGACAGCUUGCUGAUGAUCGUGGGAUUUGAUGGUUUAGAAGGUUAGAGUGUAUAUAAAUUCGCUAAGGAUGCUGACGUAAUGGCUUUAAACGACCCGUCUUGAAACACGGACCAAGGAGUCUAACAUAUGUGCGAGUGUU
RNAcentral lists this ribosomal RNA (772 nucleotides) under uncultured Acaulosporaceae. RNAcentral describes it as "eukaryotic LSU rRNA". It matches the Rfam family "Eukaryotic large subunit ribosomal RNA", at positions 11 to 694 of the family's 3401-position model. Lineage: Eukaryota; Fungi; Glomeromycota; Glomeromycetes; Diversisporales; Acaulosporaceae. The record is from RNAcentral.